RNAcentral lists this transfer RNA (76 nucleotides) under Erysipelotrichaceae bacterium. Its description in RNAcentral is "tRNA-Lys". It matches the Rfam family "tRNA". Rfam says of the family: Transfer RNA (tRNA) molecules are approximately 80 nucleotides in length. Their secondary structure includes four short double-helical elements and three loops (D, anti-codon, and T loops). The record is from RNAcentral. Lineage: Bacteria; Bacillati; Bacillota; Erysipelotrichia; Erysipelotrichales; Erysipelotrichaceae.
GACCGGUUAGCUCAGUUGGUAGAGCAACUGACUCUUAAUCAGUGGGUCCAGGGUUCGAAUCCCUGACUGGUCACCA